This is a non-coding RNA of Schizosaccharomyces pombe (fission yeast), 286 nucleotides long. Lineage: Eukaryota; Fungi; Ascomycota; Schizosaccharomycetes; Schizosaccharomycetales; Schizosaccharomycetaceae. The record is from the annotation of a GenBank genome assembly.
AUCAGUUCUGUAGUGAUAAGGAUUACGGAAAGCAACCUUGGCCAACGGAGCACCACGGCCAGGGUCAUGAAUGAUCUUUUGGACGACACCACGAAUGUAUCCAUGACGCUCAGCAAAGUCCAAAGUACGGAGCUGAGCAGCACCCUUACGAAGACGGGUAUGAGCUUGGAAAAUUCCACCACUCUUUCUUUGAGCUCUGAUCACACGUCCCAUUGUUAGUUUGUUGAAAGAGUAUGUAACAGAUUGGUGUACAAAUCAGUCAGGCCUUGUUUCGAAAAGUACUCGU